GAUGAACGCUGGCGGCGUGCCUAAUACAUGCAAGUCGAGCGAACAGAUGAGGAGCUUGCUCCUCUGACGUUAGCGGCGGACGGGUGAGUAACACGUGGAUAACCUACCUAUAAGACUGGGAUAACUUCGGGAAACCGGAGCUAAUACCGGAUCAUAUAUUGAACCGCAUGGAUCAAUAGUGAAAGCCGGUUUUGCUGUCACUUAUAGAUGGAUCCGCGCCGCAUUAGCUAGUUGGUAAGGUAACGGCUUACCAAGGCAACGAUGCGUAGCCGACCUGAGAGGGUGAUCAGCCACACUGGAACUGAGACACGGUCCAGACUCCUACGGGAGGCAGCAGUAGGGAAUCUUCCGCAAUGGGCGAAAGCCUGACGGAGCAACGCCGCGUGAGUGAUGAAGGUCUUCGGAUCGUAAAACUCUGUUAUUAGGGAAGAACAAAUGUGUAAGUAACUAUGCACGUCUUGACGGUACCUAAUCAGAAAGCCACGGCUAACUACGUG
Molecule: ribosomal RNA, 497 nt
Filed under: uncultured bacterium
Lineage: Bacteria
Description: partial 16S ribosomal RNA
Rfam family: Bacterial small subunit ribosomal RNA
Source: RNAcentral